This 440-nucleotide ribosomal RNA is filed under the name uncultured bacterium. RNAcentral describes it as "partial 16S ribosomal RNA". It matches the Rfam family "Bacterial small subunit ribosomal RNA", at positions 338 to 795 of the family's 1533-position model. The record is from RNAcentral.
CCUACGGGCGGCAGCAGUGGGGAAUAUUGCACAAUGGGGGAAACCCUGAUGCAGCGACGCCGCGUGAGUGAAGAAGUAAUUCGUUAUGUAAAGCUCUAUCAGCAGGGAAGCAAAUGACGGUACCUGAGUAAUAAGCCCCGGCUAAGUACGUGCCAGCAGCCGAGGUAAUACGUAGGGGGCCAGCGUGAUCCGGAUUUACUGGGUGUACAGGGAGCGUAGACGGCAGUGCAAGUCUGGAGUGAAAGGCGGGGGCGCAACCCCCGGACUGCUCUGGAAACUGUACGGCUGGAGUGCAGGAGAGGUAAGUGGAAUUCCGAGUGUAGCGGUGAAAUGCGUAGAUAGUAGGAGGAACACCAGUGGCGAAGGCGGCUUACUGGACUGGAACUGACGUUGAGGCUCGAAAGCGUGGGGAGCAAACAGGAUUAGAUACCCGGGUAGUC